RNAcentral lists this transfer RNA (69 nucleotides) under Ictidomys tridecemlineatus (thirteen-lined ground squirrel). RNAcentral's name for it is "Spermophilus tridecemlineatus (thirteen-lined ground squirrel) tRNA". It matches the Rfam family "tRNA". From Rfam's summary of the family: Transfer RNA (tRNA) molecules are approximately 80 nucleotides in length. Lineage: Eukaryota; Metazoa; Chordata; Mammalia; Rodentia; Sciuridae. The record is from Rfam by way of RNAcentral.
GGGGAUGUGGCUUAGUGGUAGAGUGCUUGCCUAGUAUGCAUGAGGCCCUGAGUUUGAUUCCCAGCACCA